CCUAAAUUUUAUUUUUUAGGACAAAAAUUUCGAUUCAGUGUAAAAAGUAAAAAAAAAAAAAUGAAAACCCAUCAAACACAACGAGAAAAAACCAAAACCCAAAAUUCAGAACAGCAAAUAACCCUAGAUUUUCAAAUCACAGCCACAAAAUUGAUCCAAAUUCCAAGAAAACUCAAAUUUAAAGAUGAGUAUAUCUCACCGAAACCUUCUGAACAACAUUAACAUUAGAUCCACCAACACCAUCACCAUCGCCGUCAACGAUGAUGCCCUCCGCAGCGUCUCCACCGUCAUUGUUGUUACUAUUAAAAUAGAUGGUGGAAACGGAAUCGAAGACGUCUUGGGGAAGAGGGUGGUUGUGAUAGAGAAGAUUGAGAGCACAAAUCAAGGUCUUGGUCUUCUUUAAGUAGUUGCGAUCGAGGUCACCACCACCAUCACCACCACCGAGAGAGCCUGGUUUUUUCACCUGAGCCACCAUGGCGCGAGAGAGCCUGUUCGAUGGAAACACAAUGAGAGCAAGGCAGAAAGCGAGAGAAGGUAUUAUGAGGAUAACAAGUAUGCCACUGAUGAUUAACUGAUCCUGGAAGAAGAAACCACUUGCAGAAGUUGUUAAUGGUGGAGGUGCAAUAAAAGCAGCAACUGCUGCACAGAAGAAGCACUACGAUCCUUCAAAACCAAAGACAGUAAUUGUCAUAAGCUCUGAUGAGGAAUUAGAGUCCAAGGAGAAAAAGCCUGUCGCUGUCAUUGCAAGAAAGUCGUGAGUUCGGUCUUCUAGAAUGCCACAUAGAACCCGACCUAUGACAGCACUACUGGUCUCAAUGUUAUUUUGGUAUCAACCAUUACUCCAGUCUAUGAUUUUGUUUGCUUUCUUCCAUACUGGGAGAGAAGGGUAUGUUUUCUAUCUUUACGCUUUGGGCCAACAAAAUACUUCAUGCUUUGUAAGUAAUUGCAUUGGAAAGAACCAA
This is a long non-coding RNA of Camellia sinensis, 962 nucleotides long. RefSeq lists it as uncharacterized. The record is from RefSeq and is a predicted model, not a curated record. NCBI's taxonomy places the organism in Eukaryota, Viridiplantae, Streptophyta, Magnoliopsida, Ericales, Theaceae.